This 614-nucleotide ribosomal RNA is filed under the name Penicillium sp. JCM 28158. RNAcentral's name for it is "eukaryotic LSU rRNA". It matches the Rfam family "Eukaryotic large subunit ribosomal RNA", at positions 38 to 667 of the family's 3401-position model. Lineage: Eukaryota; Fungi; Ascomycota; Eurotiomycetes; Eurotiales; Aspergillaceae. The record is from RNAcentral.
GCAUAUCAAUAAGCGGAGGAAAAGAAACCAACAGGGAUUGCCUCAGUAACGGCGAGUGAAGCGGCAAGAGCUCAAAUUUGAAAGCUGGCCCCCUCGGGGCCCGCAUUGUAAUUUGCAGAGGAUGCUUCGGGAGCAGCCCCCAUCUAAGUGCCCUGGAACGGGCCGUCAUAGAGGGUGAGAAUCCCGUCUGGGAUGGGGUGUCUGCGCCCGUGUGAAGCUCCUUCGACGAGUCGAGUUGUUUGGGAAUGCAGCUCUAAAUGGGUGGUAAAUUUCAUCUAAAGCUAAAUACUGGCCGGAGACCGAUAGCGCACAAGUAGAGUGAUCGAAAGAUGAAAAGCACUUUGAAAAGAGAGUUAAACAGCACGUGAAAUUGUUGAAAGGGAAGCGCUUGCGACCAGACUCGCCCACGGGGUUCAGCCGGCAUUCGUGCCGGUGUACUUCCCCGCGGGCGGGCCAGCGUCGGUUUGGGCGGCCGGUCAAAGGCCCUUGGAAUGUAACGCCCCCCGGGGCGUCUUAUAGCCAAGGGUGCCAUGCGGCCAGCCCGGACCGAGGAACGCGCUUCGGCUCGGACGCUGGCAUAAUGGUCGUAAGCGACCCGUCUUGAAACACGGACC